Molecule: long non-coding RNA, 1119 nt
Organism: Eriocheir sinensis (Chinese mitten crab)
Lineage: Eukaryota; Metazoa; Arthropoda; Malacostraca; Decapoda; Varunidae
Exons: 4
Source: RefSeq, a predicted model, not a curated record
UAGAGGGACCAUUAAGAAACAUGAUCCAUGCUGCUGCUGGGUUGAGCCUGGGGUGGGAGGGAACCCUUUACCCAACACAGGGCCAGUGUGACAUCUAGGGUGCCACAGUUUACCUUCCCCAGGUUUCCCCAGCAAGGAGGCAGCUCAAGGGCAAAAAGCAAGAAAACAGCAAGAAAGUCCGCUAGAAAGAAGGCCCCUACAAAAAAGUCCGCUAGAAAGAAGGCCCCUACAAAAAAGUCCGCUAGAAAGAAGGCCCCUACAAAAAAGUCCGCUAGAAAGAUGGCCCCUACAAUAAAGUCCGCUUGAGAGAAGGCCCCUACAAAAAAGUCCGCUAGAAAGAAGGCCCCUACAAAAAAGUCCGCUAGAGAGAAGGCCCCUACAAAAAAGUCCGCUAGAAAGAAGGCCCCUACAAAAAAGUCCGCUUGAGAGAAGGCCCCUACAAAAAAGUCCGCUUGAGAGAAGGCCCCUACAAAAAAGUCCGCUACAAAGAAGGCCCUUACAAAAAAGUCCGCUAGAAAGAAGGCCCCUACAAAAAAUCCGCUAGAAAGAAGGCCCCUACAAAAAAGUCCGCUAGAAAGAAGGCCCUUACAAAAAAGUCCGCUUGAGAGAAGGCCCCUACAAAAAAGUCCGCUAGAGAGAAGGCCCCUACAAAAAAGUCCGCUAGAAAGAAGGCCCCUACAAAAAAGUCCGCUAGAAAGAAGGCCCUUACAAAAAAGUCCGCUUGAGAGAAGGCCCCUACAAAAAAGUCCGCUACAAAGAAGGCCCCUACAAAAAAGUCCGCUUGAGAGAAGGCCCCUACAAAAAAGUCCGCUGCUGGAGGAACGAGUGUGAAAACUACAAGGGCAAAAAACAAACAAAAAACAAAAAAAGGAAGCCUGCUACAAUAAAAGCCCAAUGGUGGAGGAACGAGGCGAAAAAAAAUCACGUUUUUGAACCAAAUCCUCGACACAUAAUUUCAAACUCGCCGGCCUGCUCCUCUGAACUUCCUUAGGCUAGUGAGAAGUUGGGACACCUCGCCAGCCUAAACGAGAACUCGCCCGACAAAGCAUCGUCUGCGGCCGCCGGAAAUGUCAAGACAAUUCAUUCCUCGCACCUAAUCCUGUCAAACCAAAGCCUAAA